RNAcentral lists this long non-coding RNA (411 nucleotides) under Cyanistes caeruleus (blue tit). RNAcentral describes it as "lncRNA (ENSCCEG00000010838.1)". Lineage: Eukaryota; Metazoa; Chordata; Aves; Passeriformes; Paridae. The record is from RNAcentral.
CUCCUCAGCAGGUCCCACGAGGAAACCUUGCUGGUUCCUGGCAUAUCACCUGUGACCUUUCCAGGAGCAGGGAAGUGCCUGGAUGCUCACUGGAAAUGAUGCUCACCUCUGAUUUUCGCAGGGAGGAGCAUUGUCAGGCUUCUACUCCAGGACACAUCACCUUGUUGUAGGACGAGGAAAACUUCACUGACUCCACCAAUUUUCAUCUGAAGCACAGAAUCACAUAUCAGGAAAUCUGGAUCAUCAGCCUGAUUUAAUGGUAUAGAAGGACUAAAGGAGAGUGAUUCAUCACAGGGACUGAUUCCCAGGGCUCUGCUGUGUGAAAGGCUCGGCUGGAUAUGCGCCAGAAGAGAGAGGGAGAUAAAAAUAGUAGACAUAUUCAGCAAGCAUCCUUUUAUUUUUUAAGUCACC